GAUCUCAUCCCUUACCCCUCUCUAACCCUAGUGUCGUCACCAGUUAUCUCAUCCCAUUCCGACCUAAAAUGGAAUCAACUAUGGAUUCACUUACACUAUCGAUCUCUCUCUUCACCGUUGCUUACUCGUCUACGAUCCUAUUUAGUUGCUUCCUAACAUGGCAAAGCAAAUAUGGCCAAGAUCGAGCCAUAUUUGGUUCAAGAUCUUUCAUAUCUUGUCUAUUUUCGUCUAUAUUCAUUCCAAUACUUGUGAGUAUGAAUACCUUCGUAUUUUAGGGUUUCAAAUCUCCAGUUUAAACCAGAUUUGGUUGUACUUUUUGUUUAUUUUAUAA
This 331-nucleotide long non-coding RNA is filed under the name Nicotiana benthamiana. Its description in RNAcentral is "long non-coding RNA (NBEN_LNC014727)". The record is from RNAcentral. Lineage: Eukaryota; Viridiplantae; Streptophyta; Magnoliopsida; Solanales; Solanaceae.